GGAACCCAGUGUCCGAGAAAUGCCAUCCAGAACACCUCCUGGUGUUCUCGAGGCGUCUAUUUGUUCGUAACAUUCUGGGAAAGGCCCGAAAAGUGGAGUCGGCGCCUGCGGUCCCUGGAGGGGCCCGUGAACACCGGUCCCCUCCUGUCCCCCGGACAGCCACGCUGCCCCUGUCGGGCCUUCAGCUCGGGGCACCCUCGGCCUGGGAGGCCAGGCCUCCAGGGAAGGGGCAGGGGCCACAGACCUCCGUGACGAAGGUCCAGCAGGACUUCCAGCCCAUUCUCCUUUGGUCCAGAAGAGGCUUUCAUAAUUUCGGCUUUAUUCUGCUUGAAAUACUAGGAAACGUCCUUUAUCAGGGAAGUUCUGUCAGAAUGGAUUUGUUUUGGUUUUGUUCGUUUGCUUUGUGUUGUUAAGUCCUGAUUUCCUGGCUGCUGAACUUUACUUGGGCGGGGAAGAAGACAUGCCCAUAGCCCUCCCGCGAUGUCUGCUCACCUGCAGCUGCUGGGCUGGGGUCCAGGGAGAGGGCGCCGGGAGUAGUGGGGGCUAGGACCCCACCCCCACCCAGGGGGCCGAGUCCCUGAACUCUAAGGGUGGGGCCUCCAAGCUUCCUCACUGGGGUGGGGGGGGUGAUUGAGACCCCCUUGGAGGAGGAGCUUCAAGUUCUAAGUCAAGCCACUCUAGUGACUGCCCAAGACUGGGCAAGGCCCCUCCCCUGUGUAUUUCUCUUUUUCCCCUGGAAUGACAUGUCCCUUUAACUGUGUGAGGUAAUAAGUGUGUUGUCCUUAUGCCCAUGUAGACAGAUGAUGAAACUGAGACUCAAAGGAUAAUGUGCCCCCAAGAGGCAAAAUCACGUCCCAGAUUCAGGUAUCCUCCCUCCAAGUCAGCUCCUUCGUUCACGGCACCUCGCUGUAUCCCAGAGACUCUUGUCCCAUUCCUUUUGAAGCUGCUUUUGUGGUUAAUUCUUGUUUCCCUCCCUUGUUUUCUCUUUUCAGGCCCUCCCCUGGCCCUUUACCCUCCUGGUCUGGGUAUCCAAGGACAGAGCCUCCAGCCUAGCUUUGGGAGGCCAAACAUCUCCCUUAGUCUCUGCCCCAGAAGCCACUUCCAAGCCUUCCUGAGAGCAUGAUGCUCCCUUAAGAUCUGCUGCCCCCAGCUCUCCUCCAGUGUCCAUAUAUGAAAUGGCCAUAGGAGAGGCCCCUGUGCAUUGUGUUCUCCACUAUUCAAACCCAUUCACUGAAGUUGUCCACUGCCUAUCAUCUCGAAGCCAAGAAAGCACGUGUUUCUCCUGACCUGCCGGAGGGGUAGUUGGUACUGCGAGCUGAGCCCUAGGACAGAGGCUUCAGAGGAACUAAUCAGCUCUCCCUUCUCUGCCUCUGUGCCUGGGAACGGAUUUCCACCGAUGCACUCUGAUGAAUACCGCAAGAUGUGGUCUGUUUACAGUCGGUGUCCUCACUGGAGUCCAGUCCUCUAGGACAAGUACGCAUCUUUUCAUCUUAUAUCCCCAGUGCCCAACACUGAAAUUUCUUUGAAACGUGUGUUGCUGAAAUGGUUGUCGAAAAGCAAUAUAGAGUCGGGGUGACAUCAGAUAGCCUGGGAUCACAUUCCCAGCUCCACUGCUUGUCAGCCACACAGCCUUCAGAGAAGUCAUUUAAAUUUUCUAUGCCUCCAUUUGCUCAUCUGUAAAAUGGGACAAAAAGAGCACCUACCUUGUAAAGUUAUUGUGAGGGCUGAACGGGUUAAUAACAUAUCUCAUCUAAUCCACAAUGCACUGGGAUUUUAGAUCCAGCAAGGAAAGAAGAAAAGGCUGUGACAUGAUGCUUUAUAUCAAUGUCAGAGAUGUUUAAAAAUGUUUUAAAUGUCUACAUGAAACCCUUAGAGGGGCGCCUGGGUGGCUCAGUCACGUAAGCGUCUGCCUUCGGCUCAGGUCAUGAUCCCCGGGUCCUGGCAUCAAGCCCCGCAUCGGGCUCCCUGCUCAGUGGGGAGUCUGCUUCUCCCUCUUCCUCUCCUCCUUGCUUAUGUUCUCUCUCUCUCUCAAAUAAAGAAAAUUAAAUUAAAAUAAAAACACUUAGAAGAGUAGCUACUGCCAUUGUUGAAAUGCAUUCUCCCAAAAGCCCCAUGAUGAGUGAGUUAAUCCUCACUUUACAGAUGAGGAAACAGAGAUUCAGAGAACUGAAAGAGCUUGACCAAGCUCACAGGGCCAGUGAACCCUCGGCAGGCAUUUAAAACCUGCCUUUGAGGUGCAGUAAUCCACGGUUAUUACAAUAGCUGGCAGUCGCCCACCACGCUACCAGGGAGUUGGGAGCUGGGUUUUGUUCUCAAUUGCAUUAGCUUUCCUUAAUCUAAAUUUCUUACCCCUCUGGUAUAGUAACUCUGCUUCUUCCUCCCCCUCCUCCUUCGUACUUGGCUCUGAUCUUGUUACUUUUCUGUUAAGGGCUUCAGGUUCUACUGUAUCUGCGAUUUAAAUUGUAAGCGACCUCCUAUCUUUUAUGGAGGUAGGAGGGGUAUAAAUAAAUAUAAAGGUCAAAAUUAGCUUUUGAAGAUGACAUGUAGCAAGAAACAGUGAGAGAGAAUAUGGCCACCAUCGCACGUGGGUAUGUAUAUGUGGACACCUGGGGGACUGCCCAAAAUGCUCCCUCCAAUGAUUCCCCAGAGAGACUCUGAUGCUCGGUGUCCUGAUGCAGUGCAGAGCUCAGCGGGCCCCUUGAUGUGGCGGAUCUGUCACACCAGACUCUGUUUUUUCCCAUAACCCAAUGAGACACUACCGAGUGGAAAGGCAGAGGAGCUUGGGAAGCUACGGGGGCUGGAGGCAGUGAACUUUUCUAGUACCUUCUCUGGCUCUCCUUGGUACCCCCCCCCCAAAAAAAGAAGCAUCUACUUGAAAGAGUAUAACUUUCUAGCUCACUACUGCAAUGAGUCUGAGGCAAAGGAGAGCAUCCAAUGAGCUCCUAACCAAAGCAAUGUAAAAGGUGUAUCGCUGCUUUCAAUAUCAGAAAGGGAACCACCAAGAUAUAUUUUGUUUGGAGUUUUGCAGUCUCCCCACAGCCCUCGUGGCAGCCCAGGAUCCACAGCUGUCAAGGUCACAGAAAGAUGCCACUUGCCACUUCUGCCCUCCAUUUCCCUACACGAGGAACCCCAGGAUUCUACCUCUUCUGCCCAGCUCAUAAUACGUUAAAAGGCUCUGAGACCUGUUGGAGCAGAGCAGAGCCGAAAGCUGGGUGAGCAAAGGAGUUUGAGAAGGACGAUUGCAUGGGGAGCUUCGCUGGCGGCGGCAGGGAGAACAUGCCAUCCCUCAGUACCCCUGAAUGGAGCCUACUAUUCUUCCUCCAAGACUGAAUAAAACGUAUUCUGUGCUCAGAUCCACGAGACAAAGAAGGAACAUAUCAACAAAGGCGGGGAAAGACGAAAAUGGUUGUUCAGCGAUUCAUUCACGCAAGCGUAGUUCAUCUCCAAGGCGUCCAAGGAAGCAACUGCGCACCAAAUCCCUUCCAACGCUGUCUGUAUCUGAGCCUCCUGUGAAAUAAUCCUCUUAAUGGAAUAUUUAAGAAAUCGGAUAUAAAUCACCAACCUUUCAUCUCACCUGAAGAUCCACACUCCAUAGGGCGGAUGGUGUAUACGUCUAUCUGCAUAUGGAUGGUUGCAGGUGCCUUUGUGAGUGGAUGUUGCUAUGUUUUUAGGCUCCUUAUGCUUUUCAAUAUCUAAAUCUAUUUUUUUUUCUGAAAUAGGGGUGUAAAAUUAUAAAUCUUAGAGAUCAGAGCCCAGAAAACAGCUGCACCUAGAGACAAUUAAAACACACAUCCCUAGGAAAAACCUUUUUUGUCAUUUGCAACCAACAAAAAUGCCUAUUAUUAUGAUGUGCUCAUAAAUAACUUGAGUUUGGCGUAUGCUUUUGUACCAAACAGAAGAUGAAUAAAUUAAAUUUGAUUUACAACCUUUUUUCAUUUUUAUUAGCACUGCUCUGAAGAGUUUAUGUAAGGGACUUGCCAGAGCAGUUAUGCCAAAUGUUUUAAGGCGUUGAUAUUGAUAUUAUAUAAAUUAAGGUGUUUUAAUUUGCAUUCUUUAAUUAACUAAAUACUGGCAGAAAAAUAAAACACAAGGGCAGCCCUGACUUAUUGCCUCUAUUAAACUGCUGACAUCUCUGAAAAGAUGCUUUAAGUAAUCCAAUUCAUGCAGAGCGGGGGAGGA
Long non-coding RNA from Mirounga angustirostris (Northern elephant seal), 4179 nucleotides. RefSeq lists it as uncharacterized. Lineage: Eukaryota; Metazoa; Chordata; Mammalia; Carnivora; Phocidae. The record is from RefSeq and is a predicted model, not a curated record. The transcript is spliced from 3 exons.